UUGAAGAUGCAGACUUGAAGAUUUCAACUUGCAUACUUGGAAGACUUGAAGUACUUCAGCCUGUAUACUUGGAAGAUUUGAAGACUUCAACU
This 92-nucleotide microRNA precursor is filed under the name Solanum tuberosum (potato). RNAcentral describes it as "MIR8024 microRNA precursor family". It matches the Rfam family "MIR8024 microRNA precursor family". Lineage: Eukaryota; Viridiplantae; Streptophyta; Magnoliopsida; Solanales; Solanaceae. The record is from Rfam by way of RNAcentral.